CGACUGCUAAGACUGGAUAGGAGACAAGAGGGCAUCUUCUUGUUUUUAAAAGACCUAGCAAUAGGUAUGCUUAGGGAGGAGCUUGCGUCACAUUAGUUAGUUGGUGGGGUAAAGGCCUACCAAGACUAUGAUGUGUAGCCGGGCUGAGAGGUUGAACGGCCACAUUGGGACUGAGACACGGCCCAAACUCCUACGGGAGGCAGCAGUAGGGAAUUUUCGGCAAUGGAGGAAACUCUGACCGAGCAACGCCGCGUGAACGAUGAAGUAUUUCGGUACGUAAAGUUCUUUUAUUAGGGAAGGAAUAAAUGAUGGAAAAAUCAUUGCUGACGGUACCUAAUGAAUAAGCCCCGGCUAACUAUGUGCCAGCAGCCGCGGUAAUACAUAGGGGGCAAGCGUUAUCCGGAAUUAUUGGGCGUAAAGGGUGCGUAGGCGGUUAAAUAAGUUUAUGGUCUAAGUGCAAUGCUCAACAUUGUGAUGCUAUAAAAACUGUUUAGCUAGAGUAAGAUAGAGGCAAGUGGAAUUCCAUGUGUAGUGGUAAAAUGCGUAAAUAUAUGGAGGAACACCAGUAGCGAAGGCGGCUUGCUGGGUCUUUACUGACGCUGAGGCACGAAAGCGUGGGGAGCAAACAGGAUUAGAUACCCUGGUAGUCCACGCCGUAAACGAUGAGUACUAAACGUUGGGUAAAACCAGUGUUGAAGUUAACACAUUAAGUACUCCGCCUGAGUAGUACGUACGCAAGUAUGAAACUUAAAGGAAUUGACGGGACUCCGCACAAGCGGUGGAUCAUGUUGUUUAAUUCGAAGGUACCCGAAAAACCUCACCAGGUCUUGACAUGCUUCUGCAAAGCUGUAGAAACACAGUGGAGGUUAUCAGUUGCACAGGUGGUGCAUGGUUGUCGUCAGCUCGUGUCGUGAGAUGUUGGGUUAAGUCCCGCAACGAGCGCAACCCUUAUUGUUAGUUACCAGCACGUAAUGGUGGGGACUUUAGCAAGACUGCCAGUGAUAAAUUGGAGGAAGGUGGGACGACGUCAAAUCAUCAUGCCCCUUAUGACCUGGGCUACAAACGUGAUACAAUGGCUGUUACAAAGGGUAGCUGAAGCGCAAGUUUUUGGCGAAUCUCAAAAAAACAGUCUCAGUUCGGAUUGAAGUCUGCAACUCGACUUCAUGAAGUUGGAAUCGCUAGUAAUCGCGAAUCAGCAUGUCGCGGUGAAUACGUUCUCGGGGUUUGUACACACCGCCCGUCAAU
Molecule: ribosomal RNA, 1245 nt
Filed under: 'Toona sinensis' witches'-broom phytoplasma
Lineage: Bacteria; Bacillati; Mycoplasmatota; Mollicutes; Acholeplasmatales; Acholeplasmataceae
Also listed under: 1 other name
Description: bacterial SSU rRNA
Rfam family: Bacterial small subunit ribosomal RNA
Source: RNAcentral